GAGAGUAAAGUAGCCACCGUGCGCCAGCCAGUUCGGCUAAGCAUUCGCUUACAUCUUAGAGCCGAAGCCGUGCAACGAUCAGAUAAAGAAGGGUACCGUGGCGUCUGCCAAGUCCCGUCCACUCCGUUGGCAGUUCGCGAGGCGCAGAGCUUAGCAGAGACCGGACACCUAACCAUACGCGCACAGCUUGUGCCAUUAGAGAAUGUUGUACAUUUUGCUCUAAAAUGCAACACUGGUCUUUGCGGGAUAAAGAAGACAGAAUUCAUACAUAAGCGUCGCAGGGAAACAAGGACACACGCCGGGGGACACACUGAAACAACGACCAGGGAGGUGCACACGGAGACACUCAACUGAUCUCAUCGGUCUGUGAUGAGCAUCCUCGUCCGCCAGAGACCAAAGGUACGGUAAGGUAUCAGGCUCAUUACCUCGUGUCUCUGUCCACAUCUCAUGGCACCGCCACGGGGGGAAACUUCCCUCACAGGAUGAUGCGGCUGACCAAUGAGGGACCACUAGGGGGGUUUUCUCCUGCAAUGUAUUCGUCUUCUUUCUUUUUUUUUGAUUGAUUCUUAUUUUCCUACAGCAUUUGAAGCCCGCAUAGAUUUUAAUCAUAGAUUACUGGCGGGAAAAUUGGAACGACUGGGUUUUUCCAGGAUGUAUGUCCUGAAUAUUUUCUAAUACAAUGGAUUAAAAUAUGGGAUUUCUUUUUCAAUCAGGCUAAAUGUUCUGCACACCAUCCCUGGCUAUUGCCCCUUCAGUCAGUGUGUGAGGUGGGUUUGUAUAGGUGUGUGUGUGUGUGUGUGUGUGUGUGUGUGUGUGUGUGUGUGUGUGUGUGUGUGUGUGUGUGUGUGUGUGUGUGUGUGUGUGUGUGUGUGUGUGUGUGUGUGUG
This is a long non-coding RNA of Gadus macrocephalus (Pacific cod), 886 nucleotides long. RefSeq lists it as uncharacterized. NCBI's taxonomy places the organism in Eukaryota, Metazoa, Chordata, Actinopteri, Gadiformes, Gadidae. The record is from RefSeq and is a predicted model, not a curated record. The transcript has 2 exons.